RNAcentral lists this ribosomal RNA (125 nucleotides) under Chrysemys picta bellii (western painted turtle). Lineage: Eukaryota; Metazoa; Chordata; Testudines; Emydidae. The record is from RNAcentral.
UUCUGGAGCCAUAGAACCUUGAAUUGUGAUUUCCCCUUCCCCCAGCUCACUCAAGCUAAGCAAGGUUGAGGCUGGUUAAUAGCUGGAUGGGACACGUCCCGUGACAACCCAAGGUGCCGCUGAUU